Molecule: ribosomal RNA, 301 nt
Filed under: uncultured bacterium
Lineage: Bacteria
Description: partial 16S ribosomal RNA
Rfam family: Bacterial small subunit ribosomal RNA
Source: RNAcentral
CAGUAGCCACGGUAAUACGGAGGGUGCAAGCGUUAAUCGGAAUUACUGGGCGUAAAGGGCGCGUAGGCGGCGAUCAAAGUCAGGCGUGAAAUUCCUGGCUCAACCUGGGGGCUGCGCUUGAUACUUGGUUGCUUGAGUGGGGAAGAGGGUCGUGGAAUUCCCAGUGUAGAGGUGAAAUUCGUAGAUAUUGGGAAGAACACCGGUGGCGAAGGCGGCGACCUGGUCCUUGACUGACUCUGAGGCGCGAAAGCGUGGGGAGCAAACAGGAUUAGAUACCCCUGUAGUCCCUGUCUCUUAUACA